Molecule: ribosomal RNA, 399 nt
Filed under: uncultured bacterium
Lineage: Bacteria
Description: bacterial SSU rRNA
Rfam family: Bacterial small subunit ribosomal RNA
Source: RNAcentral
UAUUGCACAAUGGGGGAAACCCUGAUGCAGCGACGCCGCGUGAGUGAAGAAGUAUUUCGGUAUGUAAAGCUCUAUCAGCAGGGAAGCAAGAAAUGACGGUACCUGACAAAGAAGCCCCGGCUACCUACGGGCAAGCAGCCGCGGUAAUACGUAGGGGGCAAGCGUUAUCCGGAAUUACUGGGUGUAAAGGGUGCGUAGACGGUAAUGUAAGUCUGGAGUGAAAGGCGGGGGCCCAACCCCCGGACUGCUCUGGAAACUAUGUUACUAGAGUGCAGGAGAGGUAAGCGGAAUUCCUAGUGUAGCGGUGAAAUGCGUAGAUAUUAGGAGGAACACCAGUGGCGAAGGCGGCUUACUGGACUGUAACUGACGUUGAGGCUCGAAAGCGUGGGGAGCAAACAG